Octodon degus (degu) is the source of this 107-nucleotide small nuclear RNA. The record is from RefSeq and is a predicted model, not a curated record. NCBI's taxonomy places the organism in Eukaryota, Metazoa, Chordata, Mammalia, Rodentia, Octodontidae.
GUGCUCGCUUCGGCAGCACAUAUACUAAAAUUGGAAUGAUACAGAGAAGAUUAGCAAGGCCCCUGAGUAAGAAGGACUCCGGGAAGGGUGAAGGAAGGGGGUAGGAU